This 479-nucleotide ribosomal RNA is filed under the name uncultured organism. RNAcentral's name for it is "partial 16S ribosomal RNA". It matches the Rfam family "Bacterial small subunit ribosomal RNA", at positions 331 to 801 of the family's 1533-position model. The record is from RNAcentral.
GUACACUCCUGCGGGAGGCGGCAGUGGGGAAUUUUGAACAAUGGGCGAAAGCCUGAUCCAGCAAUGCCGCGUGAGUGAAGAAGGCCUUCGGGUUGUAAAGCUCUUUUGUCAGGGAAGAAACGGUGAAAGCUAAUAUCUUUUGCUAAUGACGGUACCUGAAGAAUAAGCACCGGCUAACUACGUGCCAGCAGCCGCGGUAAUACGUAGGGUGCAAGCGUUAAUCGGAAUUACUGGGCGUAAAGCGUGCGCAGGCGGUUUUGUAAGUCUGAUGUGAAAUCCCCGGGCUCAACCUGGGAAUUGCAUUGGAGACUGCAAGGCUAGAAUCUGGCAGAGGGGGGUAGAAUUCCACGUGUAGCAGUGAAAUGCGUAGAUAUGUGGAGGAACACCGAUGGCGAAGGCAGCCCCCUGGGUCAAGAUUGACGCUCAUGCACGAAAGCGUGGGGAGCAAACAGGAUUAGAAACCCUUGUAGUCCCAUGAU